CUCAUGGUUGACUGCAGCUGCUGCUCUCGGUGCCCUCACGCCCUCCAGUGUGCGCAGCACACGGGAAGAGUGAAUACUCAGUUCUUCCUCAGGGAACUGCGGCAGAGAAGUGGAGGGCACAGAACUGCCAAGUGGCAGGGCCAUGAUGGGAACUAGGCAGCCUGCCUUGGCGACCUAUGUUUUUAAACGUUGCUUAUAUUCAUCUGUGGCCUCUUACUCACCCUCUCCUGCUCCAUUGCUUUAGGCUAUGAACUCUCCAAAGUGGAAGGGAAAACAGGGACCCCUGAGAAGCCCCUCUCAGACCUUGGCCUCCUAUCCUAUCGAAGCUACUGGUCCCAGACCAUCCUGGAGAUCCUGAUGGGGCUGAAGUCGGAGAGCGGGGAGAGGCCACAGAUCACCAUCAAUGAGAUAAGUGAAAUCACCAGCAUCAAGAAGGAGGAUGUCAUCUCCACUCUGCAGUACCUCAAUCUCAUCAACUACUACAAGGGCCAGUACAUCCUCACACUGUCA
This 510-nucleotide small RNA is filed under the name Pongo abelii (Sumatran orangutan). RNAcentral's name for it is "retained intron". Lineage: Eukaryota; Metazoa; Chordata; Mammalia; Primates; Hominidae. The record is from RNAcentral.